RNAcentral lists this ribosomal RNA (497 nucleotides) under uncultured bacterium. Its description in RNAcentral is "partial 16S ribosomal RNA". It matches the Rfam family "Bacterial small subunit ribosomal RNA", at positions 28 to 507 of the family's 1533-position model. The record is from RNAcentral.
GAUGAACGCUGGCGGCGUGCCUAAUACAUGCAAGUCGAGCGAACGGACGAGAAGCUUGCUUUUCUGAUGUUAGCGGCGGACGGGUGAGUAACACGUGGAUAACCUACCUAUAAGACUGGGAUAACUUCGGGAAACCGGAGCUAAUACCGGAUAAUAUUUUGAACCGCAUGGUUCAAAAGUGAAAGACGGUCUUGCUGUCACUUAUAGAUGGAUCCGCGCUGCAUUAGCUAGUUGGUACGGUAACGGCUUACCAAGGCAACGAUGCAUAGCCGACCUGAGAGGGUGAUCAGCCACACUGGAACUGAGACACGGUCCAGACUCCUACGGGAGGCAGCAGUAGGGAAUCUUCCGCAAUGGGCGAAAGCCUGACGGAGCAACGCCGCGUGAGUGAUGAAGGUCUUCGGAUCGUAAAACUCUGUUAGUAGGGAAGAACAUAUGUGUAAGUAACUGUGCACAUCUUGACGGUACCUAAUCAGAAAGCCACGGCUAACUACGUG